RNAcentral lists this ribosomal RNA (223 nucleotides) under uncultured bacterium. RNAcentral describes it as "partial 16S ribosomal RNA". It matches the Rfam family "Bacterial small subunit ribosomal RNA", at positions 1276 to 1500 of the family's 1533-position model. The record is from RNAcentral.
AAAAAGUAAGUCUCAGUUCGGAUUGAAGGCUGAAAUUCGCCUUCAUGAAGCCGGAAUUGCUAGUAAUGGCAGGUCAGCAUACUGCCGUGAAUACGUUCCCGGGCCUUGUACACACCGCCCGUCACACCAUGAGAGUUGGAGAUACCCGAAGCCUGUGAGCUAACAAGCGAGGCAGCAGUCGAAGGUAGAAUCAAUGAUUGGGGUGAAGUCGUAACAAGGUAAC